Molecule: ribosomal RNA, 253 nt
Filed under: uncultured bacterium
Lineage: Bacteria
Description: partial 16S ribosomal RNA
Rfam family: Bacterial small subunit ribosomal RNA
Source: RNAcentral
UACGUAGGGCGCGAGCGUUGUCCGGAAUUAUUGGGCGUAAAGGGCUUGUAGGCGGUUGGCCGCGUCUGCCGUGAAAUCCUCUGGCUUAACUGGGGGCGUGCGGUGGGUACGGGCUGGCUUGAGUGCGGUAGGGGAGACUGGAAUUCCUGGUGUAGCGGUGGAAUGCGCAGAUAUCAGGAGGAACACCGGUGGCGAAGGCGGGUCUCUGGGCCGUUACUGACGCUGAGGAGCGAAAGCGUGGGGAGCGAACAGG